GUAGGGAAAGAGCCUCGUGAUAGCUCUGGAUUUUCUUCUGAAUUAUGGUCUUGGUUUCAGUCAGGUGGCUGGUGGCAUAUCUUGCUCACAGUUUUAGGCCCUAUUUUUGCUGUUCUGAUUGC
Melanotaenia boesemani (Boeseman's rainbowfish) is the source of this 122-nucleotide long non-coding RNA. RefSeq lists it as uncharacterized. The record is from RefSeq and is a predicted model, not a curated record. Lineage: Eukaryota; Metazoa; Chordata; Actinopteri; Atheriniformes; Melanotaeniidae. The transcript has 3 exons.